UUGCUUUGGCAGCACAUAUACUAAAAUUGGAAUGAUACUGAGAAGAUUAUCAUGGCCCCUGUGCAAGGAUGACAUGCAAAUUCAUGAGGCAUCCCAUAUUUUU
Canis lupus familiaris (dog) is the source of this 103-nucleotide non-coding RNA. The record is from Rfam. NCBI's taxonomy places the organism in Eukaryota, Metazoa, Chordata, Mammalia, Carnivora, Canidae.